AGCGCAGGCGGGCCGGCAAGUUGGAAGUGAAAACUAUGGGCUCAACCCAUAAAUUGCUUUCAAAACUGCUGGCCUUGAGUAGUGCAGAGGUAGGCGGAAUUCCCGGUGUAGCGGUGGAAUGCGUAGAUAUCGGGAGGAACACCAGUGGCGAAGGCGGCCUACUGGGCACCAACUGACGCUGAGGCUCGAAAGUGUGGGUAGCAAACA
RNAcentral lists this ribosomal RNA (207 nucleotides) under uncultured bacterium. RNAcentral's name for it is "partial 16S ribosomal RNA". It matches the Rfam family "Bacterial small subunit ribosomal RNA", at positions 568 to 774 of the family's 1533-position model. The record is from RNAcentral.